Long non-coding RNA from Silurus meridionalis, 655 nucleotides. RefSeq lists it as uncharacterized. The transcript is spliced from 6 exons. The record is from RefSeq and is a predicted model, not a curated record. Lineage: Eukaryota; Metazoa; Chordata; Actinopteri; Siluriformes; Siluridae.
AGACUGUCCAAAGAACUUCAGCAACUAGCUCAAGAAUGAGACCCCCAUAUUCUUCAUUUGUUGCAGUUCUCAAAUGCAAUCGAGGGUAACAUGUCUGCUUAUAAAAAACCUUUUUACCCAGAAGAAAAAGCAGCACCAGCAACUCCCCAUAACUGUGUUCAUCACUCGGAAGAAGACACCAGACACUACGCCUUUAGCGACAACAGAAGUUAUGGACGAGGGUGAAGAUACUGCACCACCUGAUGAAGAGCUGUAAUGCUAUUCUUGGCAACUGUAGUAAACAAACCAGCGGCUAAUAAUCACUGGGUGAAAAGUUGUCAUUUUGCUGCAGCGCGUGGAAAGUAAUAAACUAAAAAUAAAAAUGGAUUCUGUUCCCCCAUGUGGUGACGGCCCCCAGAACACUCCAGUGGAAAGGACACCCAUAAGUGCAAACCCUGAAAUGGGAGAUGCUCCCAAAAUUAUUAAGUAUUAUGUGGAUGCCAUCAUACCGAACAAUUUUAGGGGACGUCAGCUGAAUCCAGACCGAACAGUUAAAGUUAUUAGUGUCAGGGUGAUCCGAAACAGACGUUAGAGUCCAGACACGUAUUCUGUGAAUGAUCACCUCCAAACCUUCACCACCACCUAAAGAUAUAAAAUAUCACAAAAAUAUAAUUAA